CUGUAGCUCAGUUGCUAGAGUGCUUGUCUACCACUCAUGAAACCCUGGGUUCCAUUCUCAGCAG
RNAcentral lists this transfer RNA (64 nucleotides) under Neotoma lepida (desert woodrat). It matches the Rfam family "tRNA", at positions 5 to 66 of the family's 71-position model. Rfam says of the family: Transfer RNA (tRNA) molecules are approximately 80 nucleotides in length. The record is from Rfam by way of RNAcentral. Lineage: Eukaryota; Metazoa; Chordata; Mammalia; Rodentia; Cricetidae.